This 327-nucleotide unclassified non-coding RNA is filed under the name soil metagenome. Its description in RNAcentral is "partial contains 5.8S ribosomal RNA, internal transcribed spacer 2, and large subunit ribosomal RNA". The stretch from base 1 to 120 matches the Rfam family "5.8S ribosomal RNA", at positions 35 to 154 of the family's 154-position model. The record is from RNAcentral.
GAUGAAGAACGCAGCGAAAUGCGAUAAGUGGUGUGAAUUGCAGAAUUCAGUGAAUCAUCGAAUCUUUGAACGCACAUUGCGCCCCUUGGUAUCCCGAGGGGCAUGCCUGUUCGAGCGUCAUUUCACCACUCAAGCCUGGCUUGGUGUUGGGCGACGUCCCCUUUGGGGACGCGCCUCGAAACGCUCGGCGGCGUGGCACCGGCUUUAAGCGUAGCAGAAUCUUUCGCUUUGGAAGUCGGGGCCCCGUCUGCCGGAAGACCUACUCGCAAGGUUGACCUCGGAUCAGGCAGGGAUACCCGCUGAACUUAAGCAUAUCAAUAAGGAGGA